Molecule: ribosomal RNA, 433 nt
Filed under: uncultured bacterium
Lineage: Bacteria
Description: partial 16S ribosomal RNA
Rfam family: Bacterial small subunit ribosomal RNA
Source: RNAcentral
AGCGAACGCUGGCGGCAGGCCUAACACAUGCAAGUCGAACGAACCUUUCGGGUUAGUGGCGGACGGGUGAGUAACACGUGGGAACGUGCCUUUAGGUUCGGAAUAACUCAGGGAAACUUGUGCUAAUACCGAAUGUGCCCUUCGGGGGAAAGAUUUAUCGCCUUUAGAGCGGCCCGCGUCUGAUUAGCUAGUUGGUUGAGGUAAUGGCUCACCAAGGCGACGAUCAGUAGCUGGUCUGAGAGGAUGAUCAGCCACAUUGGGACUGAGACACGGCCCAAACUCCUACGGGAGGCAGCAGUGGGGAAUCUUGCGCAAUGGGCGAAAGCCUGACGCAGCCAUGCCGCGUGAAUGAUGAAGGUCUUAGGAUUGUAAAAUUCUUUCACCGGGGACGAUAAUGACGGUACCCGGAGAAGAAGCCCCGGCUAACUUCGUG